UAUUACGGAUAAUAUAUCAUACAUAUCACACACGAAACGUAAACCGCGCGCGAGAAUUUCACUUGGCGUGACCGUUACAUUUGGAACAAUAAAAGUACAGCACGUCAAGACACACUGAACAGAAGUAAAUCAAUUCGCUUCCAGAGUUUGAUUGCGCGACGAUUAGUAAAUGUUUCAUUAUUGGCACGAUCGACAUUCUACCGAAGGUAUUGCGUACACUCCUCGAGCGAAUACGCACACACGAAAACUUUGUCCGAAACGAAAAUCAACGUCUGUUAGCACGACGGCACUCUCAACACAACACCGGACAAUUCAAUUCUGAACACGCGAGACACACAGAACACGCACGGAGUCGACAGAGCGUCUGACCGGCGCUGCUGGAGUAGCGUACGUGACUGGAGCGCGGAGCAACAUGGCGGCAGCGGCGCAAGCGCGGCGAGUCAACAAGUUGGUCGCCUAGCAACGCCGACUAGCGCCAAGUCUGUCUGCCAGCAGUCACGUACGCCACUCCAGCGCCGGUCAGACGUACUGUUGACUCCGUGCGUGUCUCGCGUAUUCAGAAUUCAUUGUGCGUAGGUAUUAUGGUGUGUUUAGAGUGCCGUCGCGCUCUAACAGACGACACGCGAGUGAGAUCGUACGUAACAGAGGUCGUAUUCAUUUGUAAAAGGCAGCAUCGUGCGUUUGCCUUCGGUUUCGAGUAGUGUUCGCGUGUGUGUUCGAGCAAAGUGUGAAGAGGAUACGUUCGGUAAAAUAUCGCGAGUGCUAAUUAAGUGAAGUGCUACUAGGCGCUGAUGGAUAAAAAUACCUAAAACGACGUGAUGACCGCUCUCAGUAUCCGUUCUAAUGAGGUGCACACUGUCAAUUGUGCUUGUCGAGCCCAUCGCCUGAACUCUGCUCCUGAGCGACUGUUGGCAAAGUGUCAGAGCUUGUCGAGAUAAUUGUUCUCUCUCAGAAUCACGUCUCUCUAUCGACAAUUUAAAGGGAAAAAUGACUAUUCGUAUUACGUUUAAAAUUAUAAUUAUGUUGCAUCUAUUUUAUUUUGUUAUCAGUGAAAAACAACAAUGCAAAUAAAAUAGUAAUAGAUACAGAUCCUGGAAGAGAUGAUGCUCUAGCAGUAAUGCUGGCUGUAAAAUGUAUGGAUGUCAAUAUUCAAGGCAUAACUGUUACAUAUGGCAAUACAAAUUUAGAAAAUGCAGAAAAGAAUUUAUUAAAAAUCUUAACAGUUGCAGAAAAACAAAAAUCUUAACAGAAAGAGCAUAGAAAUCUUUUCAGUAAUCUGAAUUAUAAUAUCGCAAGCUUUUUGCACAAUGCGGAAAAAAAGGGCUUGGACAAACAAGAACAGUGGGGCCCAGCAGAUGGUAUUGCUAUGGCGUUACAACCGAACAUGAUAAUGCGAUCUUUUGUCACUAACUUAACUCCGGUACUUGUGUCUUUUGUCACUAACUUAACUCCGGCGAUGCAAGGUUCUGUUGUGAUAGAUUCUAAUAGCCAAGUACAUAAUGCAAGAGUUAUAGAAGAGUUUGACAAAGAAGCAUUUUAAAAGUUACUAUUAAAACAUCUU
Monomorium pharaonis (pharaoh ant) is the source of this 1561-nucleotide long non-coding RNA. RefSeq lists it as uncharacterized. The transcript has 5 exons. Lineage: Eukaryota; Metazoa; Arthropoda; Insecta; Hymenoptera; Formicidae. The record is from RefSeq and is a predicted model, not a curated record.